This 3297-nucleotide ribosomal RNA is filed under the name Triticum aestivum (bread wheat). Its description in RNAcentral is "partial small subunit ribosomal RNA". The record is from RNAcentral. Lineage: Eukaryota; Viridiplantae; Streptophyta; Magnoliopsida; Poales; Poaceae.
AUGGCGACGGGCGACACGGAGAAGGAGGAGGCGGCGGCCAGCGCCUGCACCCUGUACCGAUGCAUCUGCUGCUGGCAUCGUCUCUGCUCUCCCCGUAUCCCGCGCGUCGUCCCCGGCAGGGACUUCGUCUGCAUCCCGGCUGGCGCGGAUGACAGCCCCGCGUGGUCGCUGCUCGUCGGCCUCCUCUCCGCAUCCAUCCCUAUGAUCUUCGAAGACAGCCUCCUAGGCCUGCACCGGUUCCGCGUCGCGCGAUCCGGUCGAAUCCUCGGCCGGAGCGACGAUGCCCUCGACACCCUGUGCACCGUCGAAACCACCAAGGGCUGCAGCGGCAUCGCCAGCGCUACCGCCGCGCUGACCCCCGACGGCCGCUCGCUAUGCCUCUUCUCCGAGCAUCUGGAUCCCGGCAAGUACUCGGCGACCCCACGAGCCCAGCAGCUGCGGCUCGCCCAAGAAGCCACCGCCAUGUCCGAGCUGCCUCGCCUGCCGCAGGACACUUGCAUGCAUUGCCGCCCCGUCUCGGCCGCCGGCCACCUCUGGGCUCCAUACGUCUACUUGGAGUAUGUAGGCAAGUGCGUCCUCGGGAUGCAACGCUUCCGCAAGGACGCUGACCGGUGGGAGCAGGCCGGGGACACCUUCCCCUUCCACUACAAGAGCCAAAUGACCAAACUGUGGAAUGGCGACUUCUUGCAGGGAUGCGCCGUUCUCCCCGACGACACCAUCUUGGUGUCGCUGCGACCAGCUCAGGGCGUCUUCUUAACCUUCAAUUGCUCCGAUUGCACCUGGACCGUGGUCACCACCUCAGAGAACACACAGACGGCCUACGUUCCCAUCCUGGGCCCUGGUGUGUACAUACAAGGAGAUGAUGAGAAAGAUGAUGGCGGCGCCGUCUACUUCCUCGUGACAAUCGCGUCUAUGCCUACAAGCUGCGCUAUUUACCAGGACCAGGAGGAUCAGCGAAGAAAGCUCAAGCUGGAGCCGCCUACCACUAUCGACUCUGACUGUCCUUUCUACGAUGAAGGCUAUGGUUUCCUCGCGCACCUGGGCGGUCGACUCAUGUGCUCCGUCUGGAUCGGGGUGGACCUCCAGUGCUCAUGUGACCAUCUGCACGCCAUCAUCUCCACCUUCAGAGUUAGACCAACCAGCGCUCGGCAGAAAGGCAUCGAUAUACUGCAUUCCACCUGCCGCCUCUUGGAUGUGCUCUCUGUUGGACUACAACCGACCCAUGAAUUCUGCUUCCUACAGGAGUAUGAGGACCAGAAUGGCAUGCCGCCUGCAAUGCUGGAGUAUCCAACCAGCUCUCCCGUCAUAGAAUCCUCCAAGAUGCUUGAUUGUUGCAGCAAUUUUCUAUCUGUAAAGCCGGGACAUUACGAGUUUGAGGAGCCUCCUGAGGACCCAGCAGUCCAGAUCAACAAGGACCUAUAUAUUAUUUGCGAAGCUCACUUGCAGACAAUUGUGUAUGUUGCCAAAAUAGAGAACGGAAGGGUUGGAUCUCAUGAUAAACUACUCACGCAAAAGCAUGCUCUGGUCUUAUCUUACGACACUGAUGAUUAUUACCUUGUUCGGUAUCGGUCUCCCCCGUGGCACCUCAUCUUCAGCAGCCGCAGCUCCGGUGUAUAUGCUGUCUCUAACACACAAGAUGGCAUAGAUGCAUACGGUCCAACUGAGGAGUCCAAGUUGUUUCCAUGCACGGAAACUCCUGCUCCUGACCCUUUCUCUAUGGUUCUUGAGGUUGGUAACAGGAUCGUCGCGCUGAGCGAGACUCUCGGUGUUUCCUACCACGAUGGAUCCAAAUGGGUGUGUUGCAGGCACCGCGCAGAUGAAUCUCUUGCUUUGAACAGGAAGGUUGCCCUGUCCGGAUAUGCGGUCCUGGGUGACAAUUCCUUCAUGGUUUCGGAGGCCGGCACAGGUUCGCUCCUUAUGUUCGACCUGCGUUCCGAGAGAUGGAGCGUUGUGCGGCGUGCUUCUGCUUCGUGCCAAACCCAAAUGUUGAACGGGAGAUCUGUGUUUGUUGAUGGUUUCAUCGACACAUGCACAAUGGGGGGCAUUCUCGUGUAUGAGCUGGUUGAUCAGCAAGACGAUGGGGCACUACGGCUAGGAAUGCCCACAAAAUCCACGCAACAAGAGAGGGGGGGCUCUGCUAGAGAGCGGCUGGGAGAUCUUGGGCGCCCGGUCUCUCCUGCCUGCGGCCCCUCGCCACCACCGCCACCUCCGCCACCACCGCCACCUCCACCUCCACCGCCGCCCCCUCACCGCCCCUCUGCGGCCAAGGAGCUCGCGCCGGCCAUCGACCACGCCCGCCGUCCGCGCAACAGCCAUAAGGUCAUCGCCUCCACCCCAGCAAUGGAGCACCAGAUGUUCCUGCUGAACCAGCACGGCGUUGUGGUCACCGCGGUGGGCACCAAGGUGCACGCUGCCAGCCCCCUGUCCAUCGGGAGGGCGUUGGAGAGGGAGCUCAAGAUCCCGUCCCACCUGCUGAGGGUGACUGCCCACGACCCUAAAGACUUCUUCGUCUUCUUCAACCUGCCGGCGCACAAGGACCUGGCGGUGCGGCAUGGCUCGCUCACCGUUGAUGGGGUGACGUUCCUGCUCGAGUCGUGGUGGGAGGACGCCCACGCCGUGCACCAAAAGUGGAUAAUGCACGUCCGGGUGGUCAUUGAGAAGCUGCCCAUGCAGCUCUGGACGCUCGAGGGCGCCGUGGAGGCCAUACGAGAAAGAGUGGCCUCCCCUCCGACGAUGAUGAGGAGGACGACAGGCCGUAACCUCGCAUCGACCCCGGGGUCUGGAACGUGCGCGUCGAGGAUGGGCGGCCCGCAGGCCCCGGUGCCGCUGCUGCGCCCGCCGCCGCGCGUCGCCUCCUCCGGCUGCAGGGGGAUGCCGUCGGGUGGCGCACACAGAGGGCACGACGGAGAUGACCCGGGCCACCACCGGCGCUCAUGGAAGGACAUCUUGCUAGGGAGAGGGCGUAUGGGUGACCAUGGCAAGACGUCCACGACCAGCACCAGGUACCGCAGCCGCACCCCGAUGUCAAGGCACCGCCAAAGUGCGCCUGGGGGCUGGCAGCUCGACGCCGGUGCAAGCAAGCAGCCUGCCCGAGAGCGCGCCCCUGGCAGGUCGAGGGGAAAGAGCGGAGAGGACGCCCGCCCAUCUGCCUCUAGGGGCAAGGAGCCUGCGAAGGAGAAGCAGCAACUACCGGGGCAGGGGGGCGUCUGUGUCCCUUCUGGCCCCACCACGCAAGUUGCACGAGGACGCUGCAUCCUCCUCAACCCUGGCAGACGACCCAGUGGCCGAAUUCUUUGA